This 431-nucleotide long non-coding RNA is filed under the name Ananas comosus (pineapple). Its description in RNAcentral is "long non-coding RNA (ACOM_LNC003411)". Lineage: Eukaryota; Viridiplantae; Streptophyta; Magnoliopsida; Poales; Bromeliaceae. The record is from RNAcentral.
GAUGCGAGCAAUGCGAUCCUUUUUAAGCCAAUUAUUACAGGCUUCCAUAUCUCGGCGAGCCUGGGCACUGGUGCCCUCCGUGGGUUGGUCCAUUUUAUUGCUCAGGUUUUCCAGGACUUCUUGCUCAGCGAGAACAUAUUGAAUUUUACGGUGCCAAAUAUCAUAAUUGUCACCAUCCAAUUUCUCGCCCUUAUUUAAAUCAGCAACUAUUUGUUUGGAAGCCAUUAAAUCUCACUUUGUUCAUGCAAUGCGCAGAGAAUGAUAUUUUAAAAUCAGUACACGAUACAUAUAUUCAAUUUUGCUGCAUCUCUAAUUAAUAAAUUAAAAAUUAGAUCAUACAUGCGUAAAGGAAAAUUUCGCUAUGCUCGUAAUCACAUCACACACCAUAUGUCAUAAUUUUUAAACUAUUAAUUAAGAUGCGCAAAAAUAUU